Molecule: ribosomal RNA, 1054 nt
Filed under: uncultured Bacteroidales bacterium
Lineage: Bacteria; Pseudomonadati; Bacteroidota; Bacteroidia; Bacteroidales
Description: bacterial SSU rRNA
Rfam family: Bacterial small subunit ribosomal RNA
Source: RNAcentral
AACGCUAGCUACAGGCUUAACACAUGCAAGUCGAGGGGCAGCAUGUUGGUUGCUUGCAACCAACGAUGGCGACCGGCGCACGGGUGAGUAACGCGUAUCCGACCUGCCCAUGACUCGGGCACAGCCGCUCGAAAGAGCGAUUGAUUCCCGAUACGUCGUAUGAGUAGAUCAUAUGAUGAAAGAUUCAUCGGUCAUGGAUGGGGAUGCGUAGGAUUAGGUAGUAGGCGGGGUAACGGCCCACCUAGCCGACGAUCCUUAGGGGUUCUGAGAGGAAGGUCCCCCACACUGGUACUGAGACACGGACCAGACUCCUACGGGAGGCAGCAGUGAGGAAUAUUGGUCAAUGGGCGAAGCCUGAACCAGCCAAGUAGCGUGAAGGAUUACUGCCCUACGGGUUUUAAACUUCUUUUAUGCGAGAGUAAUGUGCGCCACGUGUGGCGUAUUGCAAGUAUCGCAUGAAUAAGCAUCGGCUAACUCCGUGCCAGCAGCCGCGGUAAUACGGAGGAUGCGAGCGUUAUCCGGAUUUAUUGGGUUUAAAGGGAGCGUAGGCGGGUCAUUAAGUCAGUCGUCAAAGCCUGUGGCUCAACCACAGCCCGCGAUUGAUACUGGUGACCUUGAGUGCGGAUGAGGUGGAUGGAAUUCGUGGUGUAGCGGUGAAAUGCUUAGAUAUCACGAAGAACUCCGAUUGCGAAGGCAGCAUACUAAGCCGCUACUGACGUUGAGGCUCGAAAGUGUGGGUAUCAAACAGGAUUAGAUACCCUGGUAGUCCACACGGUAAACGAUGAAUACUCGCUGUUGGCGAUACAAUGUCAGCGGCCAAGCGAAAGCAUUAAGUAUUCCACCUGGGGAGUACGCCGGCAACGGUGAAACUCAAAGGAAUUGACGGGGGCCCGCACAAGCGGAGGAACAUGUGGUUUAAUUCGAUGAUACGCGAGGAACCUUACCCGGGCUCAAACGACAGGGGAAUGGCAGGGAAACCGGCCAGCCGCAAGGCCGCUGUCGAGGUGCUGCAUGGUUGUCGUCAGCUCGUGCCGUGAGGUGUCGGCUUAAGUGC